Molecule: non-coding RNA, 30 nt
Filed under: Rattus norvegicus (Norway rat)
Lineage: Eukaryota; Metazoa; Chordata; Mammalia; Rodentia; Muridae
Source: RNAcentral
UCCUUGACAGACAGGCAUGACUGGCUGGAC